This 1083-nucleotide ribosomal RNA is filed under the name Triticum aestivum (bread wheat). Its description in RNAcentral is "partial small subunit ribosomal RNA". The record is from RNAcentral. Lineage: Eukaryota; Viridiplantae; Streptophyta; Magnoliopsida; Poales; Poaceae.
AUGCUACUUGCAACAUUCGCGGUUACCAUCACAUACGUGGCCGGACUGGGCCCACCUGGUGGAUUCUGGAGCAACAGCCAGGACGGCCACCGUGUGAGCGACCCAAUUAUGCAGGACCACAACUCCAGCCGGUACCAGGCAUUCUUCGUGUGCAAUAGCACUGCACUUGUUGCGUCCUUGCUCAUCAUCGUGCUGCUCCUGGACAAGAAGCUGAGCAAGAACUUUUCUGUAAGGUCUGUUGCACUGUAUGGUUUCAUAGCGGUGGCGCUCAUCGGCCUUGUGGGGGGCUAUGCUGCAGGGAGCUGCAGGGAAGCUGAUAAUACCAUCUAUGUCGUUUUUCUGGCUGGUGCAGUUCUUGCAUACAUAUUUCUACAGCUGGCUAUUACUAAAGCCAUGAAAAAGAAGGACAGAUGGUGCCAUACACAACUCACAACCAUACGUGAUUCUACUUGGCUGAAGAAAAUAAAAGGCAUGUUUGCUCCUAGUCCUGCAAGUUCUAGCACUAGCAGGUACGAUACAAUUUUAACUCAGUAUAUCUAUGCAAUUACCAGCAAUACAGGAGCUGACAAAGUACUGGAAAAGAAUCACUCUCUUGUCAUGUUGCUCGCUACUCUUGUGGUGAGCAUGACUUAUCAAGCUGGAUUAGAGCCACCAGGCGGCCUUUGGCCAGAUGAGCAGGAUGGACAUAAGGGUGGUGAACCAGUACUCCUCACAACUCAUCCUACUGGGUACAAGGUGUUCUUCUAUAGCAACUCAGCCGCCUUCGUGGCAUCCUUAGUCGUCAUCAUAAUGGUCCAGAGUAUAUUUCUACUUCAGCGCCAUACAUUGCAUGCAGCCAUGCUACUGGAUUUGUUUGGCCUCAUAACAGCAUACGCUGCAGGGAGCAAUAGGGAUCCAAGCACCUCCAUCUAUGUUGUCGCCUUGGCAGGUGUUGUCCUUGUGUAUGUGGUGAUUCAUAUAGUAUUCUUCACGUUAGAAAGCAUGUGGGAAGCCACCAAAAUCCCGAUAAGUUGGAUAGGAGGCGCGAGAUGUUACUGUUGCUUGCGAUCUUGGCUGCAACACUCACUUACCAAGCUGGCCUGA